AACGGCCAUACCAUGCUGAAUAUACCGGUUCUCGUUAGAUCACCGAAGUCAAGCAUCAUUGGGCGCGGUCAGUAAUUGGGUGGGUGACCCCCUGGGAACACUGCGUGCUGUUG
This 113-nucleotide ribosomal RNA is filed under the name Caerostris extrusa. The record is from RNAcentral. Lineage: Eukaryota; Metazoa; Arthropoda; Arachnida; Araneae; Araneidae.